GGUGCUGCAUGGCUGUCGUCAGCUCGUGUCGUGAGAUGUUCGGUUAAGUCCGCUAACGAGCGCAACCCUCGCUGUGUGUUAUAUGUGUCACACGGGACUGCCGGUCUUAAGCCGGAGGAAGUGGGAUGAUGUCAAGUCAGCAUGGCCUUUAGUAUCCUGGGCUACACACACGCUACAAUGGCCAGCACAGUAGGUUGCUAAGCCGCGAGGUGGAGCCAAUCCAUAAAGGCUGGUCUCAGUUCAGAUUGCAGGCUGCAACCCGCCUGCAUGAAGAUGGAGUUGCUAGUAACCGCAGGUCAGCUAUACUGCGGUGAAUACGUUCCCGGGGCUU
This 331-nucleotide ribosomal RNA is filed under the name uncultured Leptolinea sp. RNAcentral describes it as "bacterial SSU rRNA". It matches the Rfam family "Bacterial small subunit ribosomal RNA", at positions 1037 to 1382 of the family's 1533-position model. Lineage: Bacteria; Bacillati; Chloroflexota; Anaerolineae; Anaerolineales; Anaerolineaceae. The record is from RNAcentral.